ACACAGGUGCUGCAUGGCUGUCGUCAGCUCGUGUCUUGAGAUGUUGGGUUAAGUCCCGUAACGAGCGCAACCCUUGUCCUUAGUUACCAGCACGUUAUGGUGGGCACUCUAAGGAGACUGCCGGUGACAAACCGGAGGAAGGUGGGGAUGACGUCAAGUCAUCAUGGCCCUUACGGCCUGGGCUACACACGUGCUACAAUGGUCGGUACAGAGGGUUGCCAAGCCGCGAGGUGGAGCUAAUCCCAUAAAACCGAUCGUAGUCCGGAUCGCAGUCUGCAACUCGACUGCGUGAAGUCGGAAUCGCUAGUAAUCGUGGAUCAGAAUGCCACGGUGAAUACGUUCCCGGGCCUUGUACACACCGCCCGUCACACCAUGGGAGUGGGUUGCACCAG
Molecule: ribosomal RNA, 392 nt
Filed under: Chaetoceros curvisetus
Lineage: Eukaryota; Bacillariophyta; Thalassiosirophyceae; Chaetocerotales; Chaetocerotaceae
Description: partial Bacterial small subunit ribosomal RNA
Rfam family: Bacterial small subunit ribosomal RNA
Source: RNAcentral